UUUUUUUUCUUUUUUGUGAGCGGCUAGUUAUAUAAUACAUUUUCUUUUUCGGGUGAGUUUUUUUCAAACUCUUUAUGGCUUGAAUUAAUCCAAAGUCAUUAGACAACAUAGAUUUCUUUCUAUUUAAUUAUACACAACUUGGGAGUUCCCUGGUGGUCUAGUGGUUAGGAUGUGACAAUUUCCACUGCUGCAACCCAGGUUCAUUCCCUGGUCUGGGAAAUGAGAUCCCUGUGUGUAAGUCUGGGUUCUCCUGUCUGUUCAGUGCACUGAAGCCUCCUGCCUGCUAUGCUUAGUGCUUUGUACAUAGGUGUUCAAAAGGUGCCUGCAACAAACAAAGUUAAAAACCUACACUACGGAGUUCCCAUCGUAGCUCCGCGGAAAUGGAUCUGACUAGCAUCCAAGAGGACACAGGUUCCAUCCCUGGCCUUGCUCAUGGGUUCACAAUCUGGUGUUGCUGUGGCCGUGGUGUAGGCCAGCAGCUAUAGCUCCGACUGGAUCCCUAGCCUGGGAACCUCCGUAAGCUGCAGAUGAGGCCCUAAAAAGACAAAAACAAACAAAAAAAAACAAAACCCUACACUUCUAUCUUGUUUAUUAUCAAUUUAACUACAGCUAGGUAAAGCCCUGGUAGGUAUUCUUUUCUAAGAUAAAAAGUAAAAACAAAAUAAAAUCUGCAUCAAUGUUUCUAUGCAGAAAGUCUAAACUUUCAUUUGAGCUUAUUUAUUUGAGGUGGGUUUGCUUGAUCCUUAUAAAAAAAAGAUUCGUGGUAUUCUUCAGCUUGUUUAUAGUGCUGAGCAACACUCAUGUUUGUUUUACAUUCUCUGCUAGUUCCUCUUCUUCUUUUUUUUUAAUAACACAGACAUUUUAAAACCAAAAUAAACUGAGCAUGUGUAUUAGCAUUAUAGAAACACAGCAGUAGGCAGUAAAUGAUUUAUGGAACUAUCUUCUCUGGGUAAUACAACAGUGUUAUACAUACACAAUUACUUUCAUAAAGUUUGGAAGGCAAACAUGAAUAGGAAUGCCUACUACAUUCAAUAUGUUAUGUCAGUAUUUAAAAAAAAAACAAAACAAUUUCUGUGUACCGUAGUUUUUCUCCUUUUUAAAAAAAACUCCCAUUCUCAGAAUCCAUCUCAACCAGUCUAAAGAUGUGAAAAGCUGUCAUAUUCUUAAAGACCAACAGAGGAAAAAAGAAAAUUGACAGCUACCCAUUCCAAUUUUAUGUCAGUUAAAUAUUUUAAAGAGAUAAAAUAGAUCUCUAAGAGUGAAGAUCAAACAAAAAGCACAUCUUAUUCAUUAUUAGCUUUUUUUAGGGCCACACCUGUAGCAGAAGGAAGUUCCCAGGCUAGGGGUUGAAUUGGAGCUGCAGCUGCCGGCCUACGCCACAGCCACAGCCAUAACAAUGCCAGAUCUGAGCCGAGUCAGCAACUUACACCACAGCUCGGGGCAACGCUGGAUCCUUAACCCACUGAGUGAGGCCAGGGACUGAACCCGUAUCCUCGUGGAUACUAGUCAGGUUCGUGUCAGCUGAGCCACAACAGGAACUCCCCCAAAAAAUCACAUUUUAGGUGUCCUUAAAGGCACGCAGCUUUCUUCAUGGCAUUUUCUUUUUAAAGCCAUAUUAUUUGACUUCUUCAAACUUUUUACCAGUAAGAUAUUUUCCAAGUUUUCCACAUGCACCUUUCCCAGAGGAGCCACAGAAUAACUCCUCACUUCCAUAAAGCCAACUCUCGCCCAGGCAGCGUGGCCACUCUGGAAACAGUCCCUAAGCAGAGGCAGCCACGCACCCUGGCUGCGCUAACCCAGGGUGGCCCUCCUCGGGCUCUGCAGCUCAAUCUCCGUAUUCUAGUGGUAGACACAGUUCUAAGGACCACAGCUACCGGGUUUCCAGACCAUACAUCAGCACAACCAAAUAAACGGCUGAACACAUAAGAUGACAGCAGCAGCAAGUGAGAGUUGAGGGGGUGGCUACAAACACAGAUGAGCUUAAAAGAAGCAGAAUCACUUUCUACCGAUGGUAUCAGAACUCCUUAGCUUUGUAAUUCUGGAGGCCACUCACACUAACACACACUGAUCUAGCUCUUUAGAGCUUAGGAAAGAGUUUUUAGCUGUGUACACACACAUCAACAUAAAUACAGCUACAGACGUGCCGAGAUGCAUUUAAGCCUUCCUGUAACGCAGGAGAUGCACAGCAUCAGCCCCACCGUAUGGAUCUUGCGCUCAGAAUAUGCAGGGAGUCCUGGCCAAGGAAGGUGGGGAGUCUCGAGGGGCUGGAGGGGUCCUUGGUUGACAGUCAGCAACUGCCAGGAACUGAAUUCGCUCAGCCAUCUGAGCUUGGAGCACGACCCCGAACGCCCGACGAGACCUCAACCCCAGCCAGCAUGAAAACCACGAGAUCAGAAAUAGCUGUACGCCACGAGGUUUGUGGUGAUUCCCUGGCUAACAACAGAAAAAUAACGUUGCUUGUUUAUUCCUUCUCCCUCAUCCAUCGCUGCCAGAUUAACCUUCCCUACUGGGUAGCUCCUUACGAGCCCCCUAACCCCGUGGACAUCACCGGAGUGCUGAAGGCCAAUUUCUAGUCCCCUGCCCCCACGUGAAAACCCUUCCUGGAGAAAAUACAUACAGACGCAGCUUUUGGAAACAGGACCAAACUGUGCAAGUACCUAAACCCACUUAUACAUAUUUUGAAGGUAAGUCAGUUGUGUUUGUUCCACUACAAUGUUAAAAAAGAGAAAAGUAAAAUUUUAAUUAAACAUAGUUAGGAACACAGAAAAUCUAGCAGCAUUUACACUAUCUAGGGUUAAAUUCUACUGCUCUAACCAAAGACUUUCCCCCCCCCCCAACCAUUUUCAUUCAUGCCACUGAAACUUAAAUUUCAAUGAAAUGUAACACUGAAACCAGUUCAUUUUGGCCUCACCUGAGAUAGCAAAUCUAUUCCCCACCAUCUGGCCACAAAACUUUUCGUUCCAGGCAGCCGUCUUCUCCACUGUGCCUCUCUGCUCAGCAUGAUUCCUCUUCUGGACCCUCUCACAUAGCCUUCAAGACUCAUCUCAAACACCCUCCUAUCCUUUAAUUCCUUAACUCAUCAAACACACGGAGUACCUACAGGGCACACUCGGAAUGGUGGAAUGAGGGAGAUUAAAAGUGCUGUUUUUCCAUAGGACACUGGUUGAGCAAAGCAUAGUAAAUAUGCAGAGCGCAGGACUUCCUGCUGUGGGUUAAGAAUCCACCUGCAGCAGCUUGGAUACCUGAGGAGGCAUGGGUUUGAUCCCUGGACCAGAGAAAUGGGUUAAAGGAUCCAGUGCAGGUUGAGGCUGCAGCUCGAAUUCCAUCUCUGGCCCUGGAACUUCCACAUGCUGCGGGUGAAGCCAUUAAAAAAGAAAAUGCACAGCACACUAUUAUGCAACUAUAAAACAUGCCCAAGGAAGCUCUCUUAUGACCAACAUGAAGUAAUAAUGUUCAAAGGGGACCGUGACAAAGGUCUCAACAAUAGGAGGGUAAUUUGUAUAAAAAAUACAAAGUACAUAUGUACUAUCUUUUACUUAAGGAGAUAAGAAAGCACACAUAUCUGCUUAUCUUUAUAAAAAAAAAAAAACUCAGGAAGGAUAAAUCACAAACGUGGAGUCAACUGAACAAAAGAGGGGGAGGGGAGGUAGAGGUCCAGGUAGAGGGAUGAGAGCAAUGCACCCUUUUCCGAGGGUGCCCUUUGUACAGGUGGUGCUUUACGAAACAGCACGUUAAUCUUCCAUACGCUUACCAAAUAAAAGCUUUUCAAAAAAGAUAGGAAGAUGGGAAAAUUCAGUAAUUGAAAGCAAAUUAAAAUCUUCCCAAUGGAAAUUUUUAUUUAUGUAUUUAUUUAUUUUGCUUUCUAGAGCCCCACCCAUGGCAUAUGGAAGUUCCCAAGCUAGGGGUGGCAUCCGAGACAGCAGCCCAUGGCAAUGCUGGAUCCUUAACCCACUGAGUGGGGGUCAGGGAUCAAACCCACGUCCUCAUGGAUUCUAGCUGGGUUGGGGUCCGUUGCUGCUGAGCUACAUCGGGAACUCCUUCCCAAUUGCAUUUCAAAUGAAUGUCAUUACCUCGCCGAAAGGAGUAAAAGAACAUGUAAUCCAAGUAAUCCAUAAAAUUUUACUAUAAUUCAGUUUGAACUGGCCUUUUCCACCUCUGGCUCUCCGUUUAUGUAAACAGAGGUGUCCCGCACACCACGCUAGCUGGUUCUGUGAGUUCUGAGUUAAUCAGAUCAUAUAAUGAUGACACAGGUGUUCAUGCAGAAAAAUAAAGGAUGGAAUGCCAUUGUAAUUUGAGUUCACCAUUCCACAUUUUCUUAAAUUUUCACCACUGCAUUUGCUGUUGUUGUUGUUUUUAGUUAUCGGUAUCUGCUUUAUAUGUUCCUGGUCCUUCCUCAAUGGCUGUUUCCACUUCUCACUGAGUCAGCUUUAUAAGCCUCAAGGAAGCUUCACCCUGGGAUCAUGGGUCCAAAAGGCCAGGUUAGCUAUAAUUCUGUAUAAACUAAAUAUAAGAAAACUAUGAGUAUGUGACACUCUCUUAUGAGAAAAGAAUCCAUGGUUUUAUUUCCCUAAUAGGCUUUGUGAAAUCAAUGCUAUCUGCUCAGAGCAUUUUAUUUACUUCUAGAUUCUCUGUGUCACCAAUAUUUGAUUGCAGAAUAAAUGCUAUUUUGUGUAUUUUCAUUUAUUAGCUAUCAUAAAAUAUACACAAGUUUUCUAUUUCUAAGAUUUUCAAUUAUUUCUUAGUGUAUUAAAAAAUCAACCUCCAAAUUUGUAUUUUGUUUGUGUUUACUUUGAUAUGUUUAUAUGUUAAUAUUACAUCUUUUCUUGCUAAAUUCUUGAAUAGGUCACAAUGUAAAUUAAAAAAAAAAAA
RNAcentral lists this transfer RNA (4869 nucleotides) under Sus scrofa (pig). RNAcentral describes it as "lncRNA (ENSSSCG00025040499.1)". The record is from RNAcentral. Lineage: Eukaryota; Metazoa; Chordata; Mammalia; Artiodactyla; Suidae.